RNAcentral lists this ribosomal RNA (841 nucleotides) under Wolbachia pipientis. Its description in RNAcentral is "bacterial SSU rRNA". It matches the Rfam family "Bacterial small subunit ribosomal RNA", at positions 116 to 997 of the family's 1533-position model. The record is from RNAcentral. Lineage: Bacteria; Pseudomonadati; Pseudomonadota; Alphaproteobacteria; Rickettsiales; Anaplasmataceae.
UAUAGGAUCUACCUAGUAGUACGGAAUAAUUGUUGGAAACGACAACUAAUACCGUAUACGCCCUACGGGGGAAAAAUUUAUUGCUAUUAGAUGAGCCUAUAUUAGAUUAGCUAGUUGGUGGGGUAAUAGCCUACCAAGGUAAUGAUCUAUAGCUGAUCUGAGAGGAUGAUCAGCCACACUGGAACUGAGAUACGGUCCAGACUCCUACGGGAGGCAGCAGUGGGGAAUAUUGGACAAUGGGCGAAAGCCUGAUCCAGCCAUGCCGCAUGAGUGAAGAAGGCCUUUGGGUUGUAAAGCUCUUUUAGUGAGGAAGAUAAUGACGGUACUCACAGAAGAAGUCCUGGCUAACUCCGUGCCAGCAGCCGCGGUAAUACGGAGAGGGCUAGCGUUAUUCGGAAUUAUUGGGCGUAAAGGGCGCGUAGGCUGGUUAAUAAGUUAAAAGUGAAAUCCCGAGGCUUAACCUUGGAAUUGCUUUUAAAACUAUUAAUCUAGAGAUUGAAAGAGGAUAGAGGAAUUCCUGAUGUAGAGGUAAAAUUCGUAAAUAUUAGGAGGAACACCAGUGGCGAAGGCGUCUAUCUGGUUCAAAUCUGACGCUGAAGCGCGAAGGCGUGGGGAGCAAACAGGAUUAGAUACCCUGGUAGUCCACGCUGUAAACGAUGAAUGUUAAAUAUGGGGAGUUUACUUUCUGUAUUACAGCUAACGCGUUAAACAUUCCGCCUGGGGACUACGGUCGCAAGAUUAAAACUCAAAGGAAUUGACGGGGACCCGCACAAGCGGUGGAGCAUGUGGUUUAAUUCGAUGCAACGCGAAAACCUUACCACUUCUAGACAUGAAAAUCAUA